UUUCUAACAACAUUUACUUAAAAACAAAAUUCUUGUAUUCUUCAUGUAGGGUCAGUAUUCAACUGCACAAAAAUAUGCAGCCAACUUAAGAACUAUAUAUAAGAUUAAGACACCUGGUAUUUCAUGGUAAAUGAUUAAAUUAACUAACACAGUUAUAUCCUGAACUUUGCCGUUAGGAAUGACAACUUUGUUCGAUGUGCAUUGAGGAUUGUGGGUAAUCUAAAUUGGUAUGAGCUUUUUCUCUUUGAAACUCAAACAAAAUUAAGGAACAGUAUUCUGCAAAUGGAAUAUGGAGUUUGAGAACUGCCACAAAAAAAUUCUCUUGUAGUAAGCUGAACUCCCCUAGGAGUACUCAGGAAUUAGAGAACUCAGGAAUUAGAGAAUUAGAGAACUGGAGAAAUGAGGGGGCGUGGAUAGUAGGGAGAGAAAAAUUGAUUAAUUGAUUUACUGUAUUUUUCAAAUAGAAAUAGCUGGGAAAAUAAGACAAAACAAGCGGAGUUGUUUCUUUUUCACAGUGAAGCCCCAGAGGGGUGCAAGCUUUGUUGUCCCUGGGUAGCAAGCCUAUUUCCACAUUUCCGACUGCAUAUUCCAUAUUUAUGCUGAUUUUUGGUCUCUCUGUUCCUGGCUUGCUAGGUGGCAAGGGCAGUUAGAGAAAAAAGGCAGAUUUAUGAAACAGAAAAAUUUCUCACUGAAAUCAGGCUUGGAUUUGUGAAUCACUUUUUUUUCCCCCUGUGGUCACUCCUGUGAUGAGGUCAACUGCUUCAAUCCUUUAGGUUUUGUAGACGGGUUUCUGGAUUCCAGGAGUCCCAGAAGGUCCAGGGAGCGCUCCCCACAUUUUAGCCAGAAGUAAUUAACUAAAACAUAAAGGCCUCACUUUCUCUUUUCACACUUUGAGCCACAGAUCAUCUAAUUCCUAGCUUGAGACAUCAGAUUUCAGAUCAUUAGUGCAAAGCAUCUUCCACAGGAGGCAAUAAAAUGUCACUUUAUAUAACUCAGCUACAGUUACACUGCCUUCAGAAAGCAGGAAUCUCCCUGAAAAGAAAUUUACAUGAAAACAGUCCCAUUGUUUGAGAAUUUAUGCAAAUGUUGAACAAAGGGGUUUGAUAGUGAUUUUAAAAACUUAAAUCUUUAUUACUGCCUCAAAGAUAUCCUGAGAAACUUGGUUACUUCUAAAGGAUUCCAUUGCACUUAUUUUUUAAAAUGCCUAUAAUAUAGAGUUGUUUUAAAAAUUUUCCCUAAACUCUAAACUUCUUCCUCAGCUUCAAAGCCUUCUAUAAUGAAUAUCCUACAGAGAGCCUAGUGCAUAUUGGUUUAACACUUACUAGGAUCACUCAUUACUGGUUAAGAAAAUUGAAGAUAACAACCAUAGUGCCAAGUAUUUUGAACAACAUAAAAUGUUUCUCCCGUGGGUGUAGCUCUUAGGGACCACAUGGGGAUACAUACCCCUCAGUGCUCAAUCAGCACAAGAUGAAGCUUAAGUGUCUCAGUCCAUGUUGAUUGCCUCUGAACUCCCCGGUGUUAGGAAUCUGGAUGUGUCCAUUACUGCAUGUUCAAGCAAUGAACUGCCUGCACCAGGAAUCUGAUUUCUGUAGAAAGACAUUAAGGGGCUGGGUGAGGAAUAGGGUGUCAACCAAACGUUGUGAUAUUUUCCUUUGAUUUUCACUUUCUUUAAAUUCUUUUCCAUUUGCUACCUAGCAACUGUCUGGCAUUGGUACCCUCAUUUUCUUUUCUUCUGCUUUUCCUCCUAAUUCAGUGUGGAAGAUGAUCAAAGUAUGACAUUUCUUCUACCCUAGAGGUUGGCAUUUCUGCAGGCACAAAUGAGCUUGGUUUUCAAGCACCAGUCUUUGAACACAAGGAAUUCUUUUAAUGAUCACGCCGGACUAUAUAGACUUUGGAAUCAGACUCUUUGAAUUCCAGCUCUGCCAUUUACCAACUUUGACACUUUGGACAGGGUCUCAUUCUGUCACCCAGGCUGGAGUGCAGUGGCACGAUUAUAGCUCACUGCAACCUCAAACACCUGGGCUCAAGCAAUCCUUCCACCUCUGCCUCCUGAGUAAUUGGGACUACAGGCGUGUGCCACCACGCCCAGCUAAUUUUUAAUUUUUAAUUUUUUUGUAGAGAUGGAGGUCUUGCUAUGUCACCCAGGCUGGUCUUGAACACCUGGCCUCAAGUGAUCCUCUGGCUUCGGUCUCUCAAAGCUCUGGGAUUACAGACAUGAGCCACUGCACCCGGCUCUGUCUCCCCUUCCUAUGUGUGUUAGCUCUAGAACAAGAGAAGCCUUGUUGAGAUUCAUGGCUGCCCACCCCCCAUCACCUCUCUGACUUUGGGCAAGUUGCCUGGCCUCUCUCAGCCUUUAUUUUCUUUUUGUGAAAUGGGAAUAAUAAUAGUACUUGCCUCACAGGCAAAAUGUUGUGAGAACUAAACGAGAAAAUGCACAUAAAGCACUUGGCACUUAGUUCUUUUUAUGAUUAUAAUGAUAAUCAGACACAAUAAAUUAUUUCUCACAUC
This 2508-nucleotide long non-coding RNA is filed under the name Pongo abelii (Sumatran orangutan). RNAcentral describes it as "lincRNA". The record is from RNAcentral. Lineage: Eukaryota; Metazoa; Chordata; Mammalia; Primates; Hominidae.